RNAcentral lists this transfer RNA (77 nucleotides) under Maritimibacter sp. RNAcentral describes it as "tRNA-Lys". It matches the Rfam family "tRNA". From Rfam's summary of the family: Transfer RNA (tRNA) molecules are approximately 80 nucleotides in length. The record is from RNAcentral. Lineage: Bacteria; Pseudomonadati; Pseudomonadota; Alphaproteobacteria; Rhodobacterales; Roseobacteraceae.
GGGCCGUUAGCUCAGUUGGUANGAGCAACUGACUUUUAAUCAGUGGGUCGCAGGUUCGAAUCCUGCACGGCUCACCA